GACGGACGCUGGCGGCGUGCCUAAUACAUGCAAGUAGAACGCACAGUUUAUACCGUAGCUUGCUACACCAUAAACUGUGAGUUGCGAACGGGUGAGUAACGCGUAGGUAACCUGCCUGGUAGCGGGGGAUAACUAUUGGAAACGAUAGCUAAUACCGCAUAAUAUUGAUUAUUGCAUGAUAAUUGAUUGAAAGAUGCUAUUGCAUCACUACCAGAUGGACCUGCGUUGUAUUAGCUAGUAGGUGAGGUAACGGCUCACCUAGGCGACGAUACAUAGCCGACCUGAGAGGGUGAUCGGCCACACUGGGACUGAGACACGGCCCAGACUCCUACGGGAGGCAGCAGUAGGGAAUCUUCGGCAAUGGACGAAAGUCUGACCGAGCAACGCCGCGUGAGUGAAGAAGGUUUUCGGAUCGUAAAGCUCGGUUGUAAGAGAAGAACGGGUGUGAGAGUGGAAAGUUCACACUGUGACGGUAUCUUACCAGAAAGGGACGGCUAACUACGUG
Molecule: ribosomal RNA, 505 nt
Filed under: uncultured bacterium
Lineage: Bacteria
Description: partial 16S ribosomal RNA
Rfam family: Bacterial small subunit ribosomal RNA
Source: RNAcentral